RNAcentral lists this ribosomal RNA (451 nucleotides) under uncultured organism. RNAcentral's name for it is "partial 16S ribosomal RNA". It matches the Rfam family "Bacterial small subunit ribosomal RNA", at positions 334 to 801 of the family's 1533-position model. The record is from RNAcentral.
CACUCCUGCGGGAGGCAGCAGUGGGGAAUCUUGCGCAAUGGGCGAAAGCCUGACGCAGCCAUGCCGCGUGAAUGAUGAAGGUCUUAGGAUUGUAAAAUUCUUUCACCGGGGACGAUAAUGACGGUACCCGGAGAAGAAGCCCCGGCUAACUUCGUGCCAGCAGCCGCGGUAAUACGAAGGGGGCUAGCGUUGCUCGGAAUUACCGGGCGUAAAGGGAGCGUAGGCGGACAUUUAAGUCAGGGGUGAAAUCCCGGGGCUCAACCUCGGAAUUGCCUUUGAUACUGGGUGUCUUGAGUAUGAGAGAGGUGUGUGGAACUCCGAGUGUAGAGGUGAAAUUCGUAGAUAUUCGGAAGAACACCAGUGGCGAAGGCGACACACUGGCUCAUUACUGACGCUGAGGCUCGAAAGCGUGGGGAGCAAACAGGAUUAGAUACCCCUGUAGUCCCAUGAU